CAGUAGCCGCGGUAAUACGUAGGGUGCAAGCGUUAAUCGGAAUUACUGGGCGUAAAGCGUGCGCAGGCGGUGUUGUAAGACUGAUGUGAAAUCCCCGGGCUCAACCUGGGAACUGCAUUGGUGACUGCAGCGCUGGAGUGCGGCAGAGGGGGAUGGAAUUCCGCGUGUAGCAGUGAAAUGCGUAGAUAUGUGGAGGAACACCGAUGGCGAAGGCAGCCCCCUGGGAUAACACUGACGCUCAUGCACGAAAGCGUGGGGAGCAAACAGGAUUAGAUACCCGCGUAGUCCCUGUCUCUUAUAA
RNAcentral lists this ribosomal RNA (301 nucleotides) under uncultured bacterium. Its description in RNAcentral is "partial 16S ribosomal RNA". It matches the Rfam family "Bacterial small subunit ribosomal RNA", at positions 509 to 809 of the family's 1533-position model. The record is from RNAcentral.